This 500-nucleotide ribosomal RNA is filed under the name uncultured Glomeromycotina. RNAcentral's name for it is "partial small subunit ribosomal RNA". It matches the Rfam family "Eukaryotic small subunit ribosomal RNA", at positions 591 to 1092 of the family's 1831-position model. Lineage: Eukaryota; Fungi; Glomeromycota. The record is from RNAcentral.
CCAAUAGCGUAUAUUAGUGUUGUUGCGGUUAAAAAGCUCGUAGUUGAAUUUCGGGGUUAGUAGGCUGGUCAUGCCUCUGGUAUGUACUGGUCUCACUGAUUCCUCCUUCCUGAUGAGCUGUAAUGCCAUUAAUUUGGUGUUGCAGGGAAUCUGGACUGUUACUUUGAAAAAAUUAGAGUGUUUAAAGCAGGCUAACGCUUGAAUACAUUAGCAUGGAAUAAUGAAAUAGGACGUUCGAUCCUAUUUUGUUGGUUUCUAGGAUUGACGUAAUGAUUAAUAGGGAUAGUUGGGGGCAUUAGUAUUCAAUUGUCAGAGGUGAAAUUCUUGGAUUUAUUGAAGACUAACUACUGCGAAAGCAUUUGCCAAGGAUGUUUUCAUUAAUCAAGAACGAAAGUUAGGGGAUCGAAGACGAUCAGAUACCGUCGUAGUCUUAACCAUAAACUAUGCCGACUAGGGAUCGGAUGAUGUUAAUUUUUUAAUGACUCAUUCGGCGCCUUACG